UUAGGGUUCGAUUCCGGAGAGGGAGCCUGAGAAACGGCUACCACAUCUAGGAAGGCAGCAGGCGCGCAAAUUACCCAAUGAAAACAGCUUCGAGGUAGUGACGAGAAAUAACAAUACAGGGCAUUUUUUGUUCUGUAAUUGGAAUGAUGGGAAUGUAAAACCCUUUCAGAGUAACAAUUGGAGGGCAAGUCUGGUGCCAGCAGCCGCGGUAAUUCCAGCUCCAAUAGUGUAUAUGAGAGUUGUUGCAGUUAAAAAGCUCGUAGUUGGAUUUCUGUCGUGGUCUACCGGUUCCGCCCGUAUGGGUGUGCACCUGGUUUGCCCUCGGCUUUCUUCCGAUUGCCUUCAGGCUCUUCAUUGCGUCUGUUGGUUUUUCGGAACUUUUACUUUGAGAAAAAUAGAGUGUUUCAAGCACGCUUGUCGCCCUGAAUACUUCAGCAUGGAAUAAUAAGAUAGGACCUUGGUUCUAUUUUGUUGGUUUCUAGGACUAAGGUAAUGAUUAAUAGGGACAGUUGGGGGCAUUCGUAUUUAACUGUCAGAGGUGAAUUCUAGAUUUUGUUAAAAGACGAACUACUGGCGAAGCAUUUGCCAAGGGAUGUUUUCAUUAAUCAGACGACGUAGGGGUUGAGACGAUGAGAUACGUCGU
Molecule: ribosomal RNA, 643 nt
Filed under: Eimeria sp. CV551.1
Lineage: Eukaryota; Apicomplexa; Conoidasida; Eucoccidiorida; Eimeriidae
Description: SSU rRNA
Rfam family: Eukaryotic small subunit ribosomal RNA
Source: RNAcentral